GACGAACGCUGGCGGCGUGCUUAACACAUGCAAGUCGAACGGAAAGGCUCCAGCUUGCUGGAGUGCUCGAGUGGCGAACGGGUGAGUAACACGUGGGUAAUCUGCCCUGCACUCUGGGAUAAGCCUGGGAAACUGGGUCUAAUACUGGAUAUGACCUUUCUCCUUAUGGGGUUUGGUGGAAAGUUUUUCGGUGUAGGAUGAGCCCGCGGCCUAUCAGCUUGUUGGUGGGGUGAUGGCCUACCAAGGCGAUGACGGGUAGCCGGCCUGAGAGGGUGAUCGGCCACAUUGGGACUGAGAUACGGCCCAGACUCCUACGGGAGGCAGCAGUGGGGAAUAUUGCACAAUGGGCGGAAGCCUGAUGCAGCGACGCCGCGUGAGGGAUGACGGCCUUCGGGUUGUAAACCUCUUUCAGCAGGGACGAAGCGUAAGUGACGGUACCUGCAGAAGAAGCACCGGCUAACUACGUG
RNAcentral lists this ribosomal RNA (467 nucleotides) under uncultured bacterium. Its description in RNAcentral is "partial 16S ribosomal RNA". It matches the Rfam family "Bacterial small subunit ribosomal RNA", at positions 28 to 507 of the family's 1533-position model. The record is from RNAcentral.